This is a long non-coding RNA of Gadus morhua (Atlantic cod), 1125 nucleotides long. The record is from Ensembl. Lineage: Eukaryota; Metazoa; Chordata; Actinopteri; Gadiformes; Gadidae.
AUUUAUUGUUCCUUAGGCUGGCGGUGCAAUGCUGUUCACACACAGAUGUACAUGCUGGAGGGAGUAUCGAGGUGGAACAUGGGCCGGGCCAAGGAGGCAGUAGAUGUGGAGGGGGCCUCAACCCUCAGAAGCUUUGAUGUCCGCUUGAUGUCCCACCUCAGCAACUUAAGACAGCGCGUUCUUGGUUCCACUCUGGUGCCAGAGUUCACUCCACCCGGGAAACCUACUAGCGAGCGCAUAGCAGUGGAGUAUUUAUUGGCCCAGACCAACAGAGGUGACCUGCUGGCUCCAAAUCAGGUCCCUGAGGUCCCCUCGCAGGUACUUGAGGAGGAGGAUGAGCCGGAUGACACCAUCAGCAUGACUGACAUUCUGUGCCAGUCAGCUGCGAUAGGGGCUGGUGAUCCUCCAGGUGCUGUGGUGGGUGACGCUGAACCCGGACCCCUCGUCACACAGACCAGCCAAUGUGACUCAAGGGGCGUUGUGGGAUGGGAUGCGGUUGCUAACCUGGCAGGCUACCUAGUUGGCUUGAAUCGCACCAUCACUGCCUUGUCAAUGAAGGAGGAAGAGGACAUAGUCCAGCUAUAUACAGCUCUCCAUGACAUGGACAAGAAGCAUUCAAGCUACACCCAGAAGGCUAGGAAAAAAGGACAGGCAUCAGGAGGACCAUGGAGAGCACCGAGGAGGCCGAGUGGCUCUGCUCCGGGACAGCAGGCGGCAGAGAGACUAUACAUGACUCACGGCCAAGCAGCCCAGGAUCCCGAACACCACAGGGUCAGUGAGUGUGUCUGCCUCAGACUGGCCAAGGAGUUCGAGCAGUCCCGCAACAGGCCGAAGGACACGAGGGGGAAAACCCUGCCCAUCCCUCAGUCAAUUGUGAGCGUCUACAGCCACAUUAGACAGCUGCUGGAGGACAGCAGGGUUAUCGUGGUCCAGACGGCGCUGGCUCUGGUGCCGGUGAACAACACCACGGUCUCUGCAUGGCUGCUUAGGAGGGACAAGAGGAAGGACAGGAACAUGCUGCUGCAGGGCAAUGUUCUCCCUCAACAGCUAUACCUGGCCAAGGAGCCUCUCCCUUCAUCAAACACUCUCCCGGCUGCCCCUGAUUAACAUGCACAUGAGAUGACA